CGAGUGGUCGGGACGAUUAUUGGGCCUAAAGCAUCCGUAGCCGGUUUCGUAGGUCUCCUGUCAAAUUCAACCGCUUAACGGUUGAGCCGCAGGAGAUACCGCGAGACUAGGAGGCGAGAGAGGCGGACGGUACUCCGCAGGUAGGGGUAAAAUCCUUUGAUCUGCGGAAGACCACCAGAUUGUCUGCGCCAAUCGCAGGCAAGGUGAAUGGCGAAGGCGGUCCGCCAGAACGCGCUCGACGGUGAGGGAUGAAAGCUGGGGGAGCGAACCGGAUUAGAUACCCGGGUAGUCCCAGCCGUAAACGAUGCGAGCUAGAUGAUCCGAUCGCAGUUCGCGAUCGGAGUGUCGCAGGGAAGCCGUUAAGCUCGCCGCCUGGGGAGUACGGUCGCAAGGCUGAAACUUGAAGGAAU
Molecule: ribosomal RNA, 410 nt
Filed under: uncultured archaeon
Lineage: Archaea
Description: bacterial SSU rRNA
Rfam family: Archaeal small subunit ribosomal RNA
Source: RNAcentral